Molecule: ribosomal RNA, 462 nt
Filed under: uncultured bacterium
Lineage: Bacteria
Description: partial 16S ribosomal RNA
Rfam family: Bacterial small subunit ribosomal RNA
Source: RNAcentral
AGUGAACGCUGGCGGCGUGCCUAAUACAUGCAAGUCGAACGAACGAAUAAGACCUUGCCCUUAUAAGUUAGUGGCGCGCGGGUGUGUAAUAUAUAGCUAAUCUGCCUCUUAGUGGAGGAUAACAGUCGGAAACGAUUGCUAAUACUCUAUACUUCUGCUUGACAUAGGGAAAGCAGAGAAAGUUUUUCGCUCAGAGAUGAGGCUGUACUGUAUCAGCUAGUUGGUAAGGUAACGGCGGACCAAGGCUAUGACGCAUAACUGGUCUGAGAGGAUGCGCAGUAGCAUUGGAAGGGAGGCACGGUCCAGGCUCCUUCGGGAGAGAGCAGUAGGGUAUACUGCGCAAGCGGCGUGUGUCUGACGCAGCAUCGGAGCGUAGAGGAUGACACGUUGCGGGGCGUAAAAUCCUGUUAUCGGCAAAGUAUAAUGACGUUACCCGCUGAAUAAGCACCGGCUAACUCCGUG